AGUUUGAUUAUGGCUCGAGGACGAACGGCUGGCGGCGUGCCUAACACAUGCAAGUCGAGCGGAGUCAGUAAGAGGAAGUUUCGGAUGGAAUCUUGUUGAUUUAGCGGCGGACGGGUGAGUAACGCGUGAGCGACCAACCUUGCACAGGGGGAUAACGGACCGAAAGGUUCACUAAUACCGCAUGAGACCACGGUGUUGCAUGACACAGAGGUCAAAGGAGCAAUCCGGUGCAAGACGGGCUCGCGUCCGAUUAGGUAGUUGGAGGGUAACGGCCCACCAAGCCUAUGAUCGGUAGCCGACCUGAGAGGGUGAUCGGCCACAUUGGAACUGAGAUACGGUCCAAACUCCUACGGGAGGCAGCAGUGGGGAAUAUUGGGCAAAUGGGGGAAACCCUGACCCAGCAACGCCGCGUGAAGGAAGAAGGUUUUCGGAUUGUAAACUUCUGUCCUUGGUGAAGAGAAGAAGACGGUAGCCAAGGAGGAAGCCCCGGCUAACUACGUGCCAGCCGCUGC
RNAcentral lists this ribosomal RNA (512 nucleotides) under uncultured bacterium. RNAcentral describes it as "bacterial SSU rRNA". It matches the Rfam family "Bacterial small subunit ribosomal RNA", at positions 10 to 518 of the family's 1533-position model. The record is from RNAcentral.